CCUGCCCUUAGAAGCGGUACAGGCUUGGCUGUUGUGUCACAUGGAUGUCAGUAGGUGGCAGAGAGGAGAAAGGCUUUGUCUAUGCUGUGUUCUGACCUGUGAACAUCUGAAUGAAUAGGAGCCUAACAUU
Small nucleolar RNA from Mastomys coucha (southern multimammate mouse), 130 nucleotides. RefSeq annotates it as small nucleolar RNA SNORA17. The transcript has a single exon. The record is from RefSeq and is a predicted model, not a curated record. Lineage: Eukaryota; Metazoa; Chordata; Mammalia; Rodentia; Muridae.